Long non-coding RNA from Pistacia vera, 508 nucleotides. RefSeq lists it as uncharacterized. The record is from RefSeq and is a predicted model, not a curated record. Lineage: Eukaryota; Viridiplantae; Streptophyta; Magnoliopsida; Sapindales; Anacardiaceae. The transcript is spliced from 3 exons.
AUUUCAUUCUCAGUUCUCUACGCUAAAACUCGUUCACCGUCGGUGGAGAAAAAUAUCUCGACGAUCUCGUUCGUCAGCCGAUCUCUAUUUUCGGAUAAAAGAAAAAAAAAUUUCCCAAAUCGCACAAUAGCCAUGAUUUCGUUCUCAGUUCUCUGCACUAAAACUCGUUCGCCGCUGGUGGAGAAAAAUAUCUUGGCGAUCUUGUUCGUCAGCCGAUCACUAUUUUCGAUGACGCAUGAUUGGUUUACACAAGCUGAAUUUACAGCCUUCCGUGACAAACUGUUGUGUGAAGUUCAGUAGCAUAGGCUGCAUUUUAUUCAUUUAUGCAUAAUUAUUGUGUAAUUAGUUGUUGCGGAUGUCAAAUUGAGUUCACUUAAAAAAUGGUGGUGAUUAUGUUCACUGUUGCAAUGUGCGAAAUUAUGUAUUAUUAUUGGUUCACGGGUUUAAAGAGCAUCGUUAUUCAGCUUCUAGUUAAUUUAUUGGAACAUUUCUUGGAUUCAGCAUAAUG